GGGGGUGUAGCUCAGUUGGUAGAGCGCCUGCUUUGCACGCAGGAGGUCAGCGGUUCGAAUCCGCUCAUCUCCA
RNAcentral lists this transfer RNA (73 nucleotides) under Candidatus Babela massiliensis. Its description in RNAcentral is "delta proteobacterium BABL1 tRNA". It matches the Rfam family "tRNA". Rfam says of the family: Transfer RNA (tRNA) molecules are approximately 80 nucleotides in length. Their secondary structure includes four short double-helical elements and three loops (D, anti-codon, and T loops). The record is from Rfam by way of RNAcentral. Lineage: Bacteria; Candidatus Babeliae; Candidatus Babeliales; Candidatus Babeliaceae.